This 251-nucleotide long non-coding RNA is filed under the name Dendronephthya gigantea. Its description in RNAcentral is "uncharacterized LOC114541429". The record is from RNAcentral. Lineage: Eukaryota; Metazoa; Cnidaria; Anthozoa; Malacalcyonacea; Nephtheidae.
CGUGAGAAGGUUGGUGUGAAAACUGUGAAAGCUUUGAAGAGGAAUAAUGAAGCCGUGACUCACGCCGCUGUCGACAUGUUGUGCGUGCUCUAUGGCAGCUAAGGCACGAUAACUAUGACAUUCGACAAGAACAGAUAAACAAAAGCUCUCUGUUAUCCUGUGAAAAAUUUCCAAGCAGUUUGUUAGGAAUUCUCACGAUAAAUGUGGUGAAGUUCAAGUUGCUUUGCAAUAUAUCAAAAUAAUGUGGGGGG